RNAcentral lists this transfer RNA (85 nucleotides) under halophilic archaeon J07HX64. RNAcentral's name for it is "tRNA-Leu". It matches the Rfam family "tRNA". From Rfam's summary of the family: Transfer RNA (tRNA) molecules are approximately 80 nucleotides in length. Their secondary structure includes four short double-helical elements and three loops (D, anti-codon, and T loops). The record is from RNAcentral. Lineage: Archaea; Methanobacteriati; Methanobacteriota; Halobacteria; Halobacteriales.
GCGCGGGUGACCGAGCCAGGCCAAAGGUGCAGCGCUUAGGACGCUGUCCCGUAGGGGUCCGCCGGUUCAAAUCCGGUCUCGCGCA